GAAUCCCGCUUCCUGAGUCUGUGUUUGCCUGUGUUUCUGUCCUGGAGUGUGUUUCCGGUGUCCUGGAACGCACCCUGUCUGGUUGCCGGGCGAAUUAGCUUGUUGGGAGAUCGAUGUUCACCCGCACCUGUAUCCCAUCAGUAAUCUGCACACCUGUCCUGAUCAUCACCUCUCCCCUUCAAAAGCUCUGACCUGACAUCCAUUCCCUGCCGGAUCGUUAGCCAUGAACACCAUUCACCCGGAACCCAUACCCCAUCCCUGUCUGCUCGUCGCCAGUGUGUUGUUAUCCAUUGGAUCUGCCUAUCCACUCCCAUCAACCCACCUCCGCUGCCCGCUCCUCCACCCGGAACUAUCUACCUCCACGUUCUCAUUGAUUAAUAAAUAUUCACCAUCUUUAUA
Molecule: long non-coding RNA, 399 nt
Organism: Oncorhynchus nerka (sockeye salmon)
Lineage: Eukaryota; Metazoa; Chordata; Actinopteri; Salmoniformes; Salmonidae
Exons: 2
Source: RefSeq, a predicted model, not a curated record